UACAGAGGUCUCAACCGUUGUUCGGAUUCAUUGGGCGUAAAGGGUGCGUAGGCGGUCGCGCAAGUCGGAUGUGAAAUCUUGGGGCUCAACCCCGAAACUGCAUUCGAUACUGCGUGGCUCGAGUACUGGAGAGGAGACUGGAAUUACGGUGUAGCAGUGAAAUGCGUAGAUAUCGUAAGGAAGACCAGUGGCGAAGGCGAGUCUCUGGACAGUACUGACGCUGAGGCACGAAGGCCAGGGGAGCAACGGG
Molecule: ribosomal RNA, 250 nt
Filed under: uncultured bacterium
Lineage: Bacteria
Description: partial 16S ribosomal RNA
Rfam family: Bacterial small subunit ribosomal RNA
Source: RNAcentral